Maylandia zebra (zebra mbuna) is the source of this 1268-nucleotide long non-coding RNA. RefSeq lists it as uncharacterized. NCBI's taxonomy places the organism in Eukaryota, Metazoa, Chordata, Actinopteri, Cichliformes, Cichlidae. The record is from RefSeq and is a predicted model, not a curated record.
AGAGAGUCACAGGCUGCAUCCGCGUUGGCCGAGGGGGGGGACAUACGCUGUUAUCGCGAUAACAUGCGAGAACUCCCGGGGCAGGUAGUACGGACGCAUGCUAACGGCUAACAGCUCAAUGUCUCUGCUGCAGAGUUGCUCUUUUACAGUGAUGUGCCCAGGGUUACACCAUCUGUCGUUCACAAAAACUGCCAGUCCCCCUCCUUUCCUCUUACCGCUGUCUCUGGUCCUGUCCGCUCGCAGCAGCUGGAAUCCCGGUAGUGUCACGCUUGUGUCCGGAGUUAGCGAUGUUAGCCACGACUCCGUUAGCAUCAUGAUGCUACAUUGCCGGUACUCCCUCUGUGACCAUUUUGGCAGCAACAUGAACAGCGCCACUGUAAGCGGCACUGCAGAAACUUUUCAGCCAUCGGAGUAUUCAUCCCACUUUAAUUCACAUGACAUCAAGUUGUAUAUCAAAAAAAAUAAAUAGGUUAAAUAUUACCGACCCGUAUAAUGCUCCUGGCAUGCUUUUCAAAAGUAUUUCAGCAUCCCAGAUCUAUGCCAUCCGGACAUACAUACCUUAUAAACUUCCCAUCGCACUACUCGGGGGACUCUUUAAAAGCCUACAAAAGCCUGGAGGGUUACAAAUGGACCCAAUCUGGCUUUGUGACAAACAUUCGGCUGUGGAAUCUUCAAGCAAAAAAAAUUCUUCAUCAUCACUGGAAAGGUUCAACAUUCCCAAAGGCUAAAUGACCCACAGUUGAAGCCAUGGGUAGUAGUGAGAAAAGACGGGGUUGUCUUGGGAGCACACUGUAACUGCACAGCUGGCCUUGGUGAGAGCUGCUCACAUGCGUCAGCUGUGUUGUUCAGCACAUGGCAGCAUACCAGUGGAAAAAAAAGAAGAGAUAGCUGUUACAUCUAAGAAGUGCAAGUGGGUCAUCCUAAGUGAGGAGUCUUUAAAGAAAGUGGAGUAUCAGCAAUGCAAUUACAUAAUUUUUAACAACUCUAAACAAAAUAAAAAAGAGAAAUCUGCAAAAGAUCAUCCUGGCCUCUGAGCUUUCCCACCUCUCCUACCUCUGACUGCUGCUGAGCAAGACCAACUGUAUCACAACCUCUCCCAAUGUCGCACACAAGAGGGGAAGAUCAUCAAACCCUAAAUUAAAAUUCUAAAUUAAUGCUAUUUUUGUUAUUUAUAUAAUUCAGCGUUUUAUAUUGCACCUUACCACUGAAGCAGGUGGCUAGUUUGUAGAUUUUUGUUCACUGACAGAGGCAAUAAAACUUUUUUCUGA